RNAcentral lists this transfer RNA (90 nucleotides) under Parcubacteria group bacterium CG1_02_44_65. RNAcentral describes it as "tRNA-Ser". It matches the Rfam family "tRNA". From Rfam's summary of the family: Transfer RNA (tRNA) molecules are approximately 80 nucleotides in length. Their secondary structure includes four short double-helical elements and three loops (D, anti-codon, and T loops). Further hydrogen bonds mediate the characteristic L-shaped molecular structure. tRNAs have two regions of fundamental functional importance: the anti-codon, which is responsible for specific mRNA codon recognition, and the 3' end, to which the tRNAs corresponding amino acid is attached (by aminoacyl-tRNA synthetases). tRNAs cope with the degeneracy of the genetic code in two manners: having more than one tRNA (with a specific anti-codon) for a particular amino acid; and 'wobble' base-pairing, i.e. permitting non-standard base-pairing at the 3rd anti-codon position. The record is from RNAcentral.
GGAGAGGUGCCAGAGUGGUCGAAUGGGCCGCACUCGAAAUGCGGUGUGCUCGAAAGGGUACCCAGGGUUCGAAUCCCUGCCUCUCCGCCA